GGAGAGAUGUCUGAGUUGGCUUAAAGAGCUUGUCUCGAAAACAAGUGUAUUAGUUUAAAUAGUACCGCGGGUUCGAAUCCCGCUCUCUCCGCCA
RNAcentral lists this transfer RNA (94 nucleotides) under Clostridium frigidicarnis. Its description in RNAcentral is "tRNA_Ser_CGA". It matches the Rfam family "tRNA". Rfam says of the family: Transfer RNA (tRNA) molecules are approximately 80 nucleotides in length. Their secondary structure includes four short double-helical elements and three loops (D, anti-codon, and T loops). Further hydrogen bonds mediate the characteristic L-shaped molecular structure. tRNAs have two regions of fundamental functional importance: the anti-codon, which is responsible for specific mRNA codon recognition, and the 3' end, to which the tRNAs corresponding amino acid is attached (by aminoacyl-tRNA synthetases). tRNAs cope with the degeneracy of the genetic code in two manners: having more than one tRNA (with a specific anti-codon) for a particular amino acid; and 'wobble' base-pairing, i.e. permitting non-standard base-pairing at the 3rd anti-codon position. Lineage: Bacteria; Bacillati; Bacillota; Clostridia; Eubacteriales; Clostridiaceae. The record is from RNAcentral.